CCGGCGACCGGCGCACGGGUGAGUAACACGUAUGGAACCUGCCCGCAGCAGGGGGAUAAGCGGAAGAAAUUCCGUCUAAUACCGCGUAACAACGUUGGGAGGCAUCUCCCGAUGUUUAAAGAUUUAUCGGUUGCGGAUGGCCAUGCGGCGCAUUAGCUAGUCGGCGGGGUAACGGCCCACCGAGGCGACGAUGCGUAGGGGUUCUGAGAGGAAGGUCCCCCACACUGGUACUGAGACACGGACCAGACUCCUACGGAAGGCAGCAG
This 266-nucleotide ribosomal RNA is filed under the name uncultured bacterium. RNAcentral's name for it is "partial 16S ribosomal RNA". It matches the Rfam family "Bacterial small subunit ribosomal RNA", at positions 88 to 354 of the family's 1533-position model. The record is from RNAcentral.